AACGAACGCUGGCGGCAUGCCUAACACAUGCAAGUCGAACGAGACCUUCGGGUCUAGUGGCGCACGGGUGCGUAACGCGUGGGAACCUGCCUUUAGGUUCGGAAUAACUCCCCGAAAGGGGUGCUAAUACCGGAUAAUGUCUUCGGACCAAAGAUUCAUCGUCUUUGGAUGGGCCCGCGUUGGUUUAGCUAGUUGGUAGGGUAAAAGCCUACCAAGGCGACGAUCCAUAGCUGGUCUGAGAGGAUGAGCAGCCACACUGGGACUGAGACACGGCCCAGACUCCUACGGGAGGCAGCAGUGGGGAAUAUUGGAAUAUGGGCGAAAGCCUGAUCGAGCAAUGCCGCGUGAGUGAUGAAGGCCUGAGAGUUGUAAAGCUCUUUUACCCGGGAUGAUAAUGACAGUACCGGGAGAAUAAGCACCGGCUAACUCCGUG
This 433-nucleotide ribosomal RNA is filed under the name uncultured bacterium. RNAcentral's name for it is "partial 16S ribosomal RNA". It matches the Rfam family "Bacterial small subunit ribosomal RNA", at positions 29 to 507 of the family's 1533-position model. The record is from RNAcentral.